RNAcentral lists this ribosomal RNA (329 nucleotides) under Gammaproteobacteria bacterium. RNAcentral describes it as "partial 23S ribosomal RNA". It matches the Rfam family "Bacterial large subunit ribosomal RNA", at positions 2606 to 2925 of the family's 2925-position model. Lineage: Bacteria; Pseudomonadati; Pseudomonadota; Gammaproteobacteria. The record is from RNAcentral.
UGGGUUUAGAACGUCGUGAGACAGUUCGGUCCCUAUCUGCCGUGGGCGUUUGAGAUUUGAGAGGAGCUGCUCCUAGUACGAGAGGACCGGAGUGGACGAACCUCUGGUGUUCCGGUUGUCACGCCAGUGGCAUUGCCGGGUAGCUAUGUUCGGACGGGAUAACCGCUGAAAGCAUCUAAGCGGGAAGCCCACCUCAAGAUGAGAUCUCACCAAAUCAUUCCGAUUUCUGAAGGGCCCUCGAAGACUACGAGGUUGAUAGGCAGGGUGUGUAAGCGCUGCGAGGCGUUGAGCUAACCUGUACUAAUUGCCCGUGCGGCUUGACCAUAUAA